GACGAACGCUGGCGGCGUGCCUAACACAUGCAAGUCGAGCGAAUGAAGUUCCUUCGGGAAUGGAUUUAGCGGCGGACGGGUGAGUAACACGUGGGCAACCUGCCUCAUAGAGGGGAAUAGCCUCCCGAAAGGGAGAUUAAUACCGCAUAAGAUUGUAGUACCGCAUGAUACAGCAAUUAAAGGAGCAAUCCGCUAUGAGAUGGGCCCGCGGCGCAUUAGCUAGUUGGUGAGGUAAUGGCUCACCAAGGCGACGAUGCGUAGCCGACCUGAGAGGGUGAUCGGCCACAUUGGGACUGAGACACGGCCCAGACUCCUACGGGAGGAAGCAGUGGGGAAUAUUGCACAAUGGGGGAAACACUGAUGCAGCAACGCCGCGUGAGUGAUGACGGCCUUCGGGUUGUAAAGCUCUGUCUUCAGGGACGAUAAUGACGGUACCUGAGGAGGAAGCCACGGCUAACUACGUG
Molecule: ribosomal RNA, 464 nt
Filed under: uncultured bacterium
Lineage: Bacteria
Description: partial 16S ribosomal RNA
Rfam family: Bacterial small subunit ribosomal RNA
Source: RNAcentral